Molecule: ribosomal RNA, 753 nt
Filed under: uncultured bacterium
Lineage: Bacteria
Description: bacterial SSU rRNA
Rfam family: Bacterial small subunit ribosomal RNA
Source: RNAcentral
UGGCGGCGCGCCUAACACAUGCAAGUCGAACGAGAGAGAGGAAGCUUGCUUCCUCAAUCGAGUGGCGAACGGGUGAGUAACGCGUGAGGAACCUGCCUCAAAGAGGGGGACAACAGUUGGAAACGACUGCUAAUACCGCAUAAGCCCACGGGUCGGCAUCGACCAGAGGGAAAAGGAGCAAUCCGCUUUGAGAUGGCCUCGCGUCCGAUUAGCUGGUUGGUGAGGUAAUGGCCCACCAAGGCGACGAUCGGUAGCCGGACUGAGAGGUUGAACGGCCACAUUGGGACUGAGACACGGCCCAGACUCCUACGGGAGGCAGCAGUGGGGAAUAUUGCACAAUGGGGGAAACCCUGAUGCAGCGACGCCGCGUGGAGGAAGAAGGUCUUCGGAUUGUAAACUCCUGUUGUUGAGGAAGAUAAUGACGGUACUCAACAAGGAAGUGACGGCUAACUACGUGCCAGCAGCCGCGGUAAAACGUAGGUCACAAGCGUUGUCCGGAAUUACUGGGUGUAAAGGGAGCGCAGGCGGGAAGACAAGUUGGAAGUGAAAUCUAUGGGCUCAACCCAUAAACUGCUUUCAAAACUGUUUUUCUUGAGUAGUGCAGAGGUAGGCGGAAUUCCCGGUGUAGCGGUGGAAUGCGUAGAUAUCGGGAGGAACACCAGUGGCGAAGGCGGCCUACUGGGCACCAACUGACGCUGAGGCUCGAAAGUGUGGGUAGCAAACAAGAUUAGAUACCCUGGUAGUCCACACCGU